GGGGAUGUAGCUCAGCGGUAGAGCUUUCGUUUCGCAUGUGAAAGGCCCGGGUUUCGAAUCCCCGCAUUUCCA
This 72-nucleotide transfer RNA is filed under the name Araneus ventricosus. It matches the Rfam family "tRNA". Rfam says of the family: Transfer RNA (tRNA) molecules are approximately 80 nucleotides in length. Their secondary structure includes four short double-helical elements and three loops (D, anti-codon, and T loops). The record is from Rfam by way of RNAcentral. Lineage: Eukaryota; Metazoa; Arthropoda; Arachnida; Araneae; Araneidae.